This 1506-nucleotide ribosomal RNA is filed under the name Candidatus Phytoplasma citri. RNAcentral describes it as "bacterial SSU rRNA". It matches the Rfam family "Bacterial small subunit ribosomal RNA". Lineage: Bacteria; Bacillati; Mycoplasmatota; Mollicutes; Acholeplasmatales; Acholeplasmataceae. The record is from RNAcentral.
GUUUGAUCCUGGCUCAGGAUUAACGCUGGCGGCGUGCCUAAUACAUGCAAGUCGAACGGAAACCUUCGGGUUUUAGUGGCGAACGGGUGAGUAACACGUAAGCAACCUACCCUAAAGACGAGGAUAACCAUUGGAAACAGUGGCUAAGACUGGAUAGGAAGAAAUAAGGCAUCUUUUUUCUUUUAAAAGACCUAGUGAUAGGUAUACUUUAGGAGGGGCUUGCGCCAUAUUAGUUAGUUGGUAGGGUAAUGGCCUACCAAGACGAUGAUGUGUAGCUGGACUGAGAGGUUGAACAGCCACAUUGGGACUGAGACACGGCCCAAACUCCUACGGGAGGCAGCAGUAGGGAAUUUUCGGCAAUGGAGGAAACUCUGACCGAGCAACGCCGCGUGAACGACGAAGUACUUUGGUAUGUAAAGUUCUUUUAUCAAGGAAGAAAAGCAAGUGGUGAACCAUUUGUUUGCCGGUACUUGAUGAAUAAGCCCCGGCUAAUUAUGUGCCAGCAGCCGCGGUAAGACAUAAGGGGCAAGUGUUAUCCGGAAUUAUUGGGCGUAAAGGGUGCGUAGGCGGUCUAGUAAGUCAGUGGUGUAAUGGCAACGCUCAACGUUGUCCGGCUAUUGAAACUGCUAAACUUGAGUUAGAUAGAGGCGAGUGGAAUUCCAUGUGUAGCGGUAAAAUGCGUAAAUAUAUGGAGGAACACCAGAGGCGUAGGCGGCUCGCUGGGUCUUAACUGACGCUGAGGCACGAAAGCGUGGGGAGCAAACAGGAUUAGAUACCCUGGUAGUCCACGCCGUAAACGAUGAGUACUAAGUGUCGGGUUAAACCGGUACUGAAGUUAACACAUUAAGUACUCCGCCUGAGUAGUACGUACGCAAGUAUGAAACUUAAAGGAAUUGACGGGACUCCGCACAAGCGGUGGAUCAUGUUGUUUAAUUCGAAGAUACCCGAAAAACCUUACCAGGUCUUGACAUGUUUUUGCGAAACGGUAGUAAUAUCGUGGAGGUUAUCAGAAACACAGGUGGUGCAUGGUUGUCGUCAGCUCGUGUCGUGAGAUGUUAGGUUAAGUCCUAAAACGAGCGAAACCCUUAUCGUUAGUUGCCAGCACGUUAUGGUGGGGACUUUAACGAGACUGCCAGUGAUAAAUUGGAGGAAGGUGAGGAUCACGUCAAAUCAGCAUGCCCCUUAUGACCUGGGCUACAAACGUGAUACAAUGGCUGUUACAAAGGGUAGCUGAAACGCAAGUUCUUGGCCAAUCCCCAAAAACAGUCUCAGUCCGGAUUGAAGUCUGCAACUCGACUUCAUGAAGUUGGAAUCGCUAGUAAUCGCGAAUCAGCAUGUCGCGGUGAAUACGUUCUCGGGGUUUGUACACACCGCCCGUCAAACCACGAAAGUUGGCAAUACCCCAAAACGGUAGCCUAACUCGUUUAUCGAGAGGGCGCUGUCUAAGGUAGGGUCGAUGAUUGGGGUUAAGUCGUAACAAGGUAUCCCUACCGGAAGGUGGGGAUG